AUGAGGAUUGCUCUAGCGCUUCUCCUGACCCUUACCGUCCUCUUCCUAGCAUCAGAUGUGGAAGCAGAUUGUACGACAUCAGUUAUCAACCGUCCAAAUAAGUGUACAAACGCUAUUUGCGAGCAGUCCUGCGACGCAAGGCGCCAGUCCGUCUGCGGCGAUCAAUGUCGUCUUCAGAAGGCCAGUUGUGUUGGAAAGUUGUGCGGAUGUACCUGGUGCAAUUAG
This 225-nucleotide ribosomal RNA is filed under the name Triticum aestivum (bread wheat). RNAcentral's name for it is "partial small subunit ribosomal RNA". The record is from RNAcentral. Lineage: Eukaryota; Viridiplantae; Streptophyta; Magnoliopsida; Poales; Poaceae.